UACAGGGGGUGCAAACGUUGCUCGGAAUCAUUGGGCGUAAAGCGCACGUAGGCGGUUUGUUAUGUCGGAUGUGAAAGCCCUUGGCUCAACUGAGGAAGUGCAUCCGAAACUGGCAAGCUAGAGUACUAAAGAGGGUAGCGGAAUUCCCGGUGUAGAGGUGAAAUUCGUAGAUAUCGGGAGGAACACCGGUGGUGAAGGCGGCGACCUGGGUAGAUACUGACGCUGAGGUGCGAAAGCGUGGGGAGCAAACAGG
This 253-nucleotide ribosomal RNA is filed under the name uncultured bacterium. RNAcentral's name for it is "partial 16S ribosomal RNA". It matches the Rfam family "Bacterial small subunit ribosomal RNA", at positions 524 to 776 of the family's 1533-position model. The record is from RNAcentral.